RNAcentral lists this ribosomal RNA (358 nucleotides) under uncultured soil bacterium. RNAcentral's name for it is "bacterial SSU rRNA". It matches the Rfam family "Bacterial small subunit ribosomal RNA", at positions 26 to 378 of the family's 1533-position model. The record is from RNAcentral.
AGAUUGAACGCUGGCGGCAGGCCUAACACAUGCAAGUCGAGCGGUAGAGAGGUGCUUGCACCUCUUGAGAGCGGCGGACGGGUGAGUAAUGCCUAGGAAUCUGCCUAGGUGGUGGGGGAUAACGUUCGGAAACGGACGCUAAUACCGCAUACGUCCUACGGGAGAAAGCGGGGGACCUUCGGGCCUCGCGCCAUUAGAUGAGCCUAGGUCGGAUUAGCUAGUGGUAGAGUAUGGCUACACCAAGGCGACGAUACCGUAACUGGUCUGAGAGGAUAGAUCGAGUACACACGUAGGAACUGAGACGACGGUACCAGACCGUACCGUACGGGAGGCGAGCGAAGGUAGGGGAAAUAGUUUA